UACGUAGGUGGCAAGCGUUGUCCGGAUUUAUUGGGCGUAAAGCGAGCGCAGGCGGUUUCUUAAGUCUGAUGUGAAAGCCUUCGGCUCAACCGAAGAAGUGCAUCGGAAACUGGGAAACUUGAGUGCAGAAGAGGACAGUGGAACUCCAUGUGUAGCGGUGAAAUGCGUAGAUAUAUGGAAGAACACCAGUGGCGAAGGCGGCUAUCUGGUCUGUAACUGACGCUGAGGCUCGAAAGCAUGGGUAGCAAACAGG
RNAcentral lists this ribosomal RNA (253 nucleotides) under Latilactobacillus sakei. RNAcentral describes it as "partial 16S ribosomal RNA". It matches the Rfam family "Bacterial small subunit ribosomal RNA", at positions 524 to 776 of the family's 1533-position model. Lineage: Bacteria; Bacillati; Bacillota; Bacilli; Lactobacillales; Lactobacillaceae. The record is from RNAcentral.